AUGCAAAUCUGCUGUACAUCCAGAGAGCAAAGUGGGAUGAUCUGUCACUACACCUGCAGCACCACGCUCGGAGGACAGCUCCUGCCUGCAGCUUCCAGACCCAGGAAGCCUGAGGGGAAGGAAGGAAGUACGGGCGAAAUCAUCAGAUUGGCUUCCCAGAUUUGGGAAUCUGAAGCGGGCCCACAUCUUCCGGCCAACUUCCAUUGAACUUCCCAGCACUCGAAAGGGACCGAAAUGGAGAGCAAAGGUAUGUGGUUGUGCCUAUCGGGGGACUUCCCGCUGCAUGUGCGUGUGGCCAAGGCAAUCCUCGGCGAGGGGACUGCAGUGCUUGGGGAGCGAGCAUCAUACUAGGUCGAUAGAGGAGGAGAUGCUAUGUCCAUUGCAGCACUGGGGAAGUGUGGCAGGAAGGCGACUUCUUUUUAACUCCCACAGCUUGGAAGACAGUGUUUAAUACUCCAUCAGUUGCGUAGUGAAGUGUGAUGAGUUUUUUGGGGGGAGGUGGGGGGAGUCCCCCCAAAAUGGAGGAGGAGGAGGAGGUAUGUGUUG
This 546-nucleotide small RNA is filed under the name Pongo abelii (Sumatran orangutan). Its description in RNAcentral is "retained intron". Lineage: Eukaryota; Metazoa; Chordata; Mammalia; Primates; Hominidae. The record is from RNAcentral.